CAGCGGACCCAGGAGAAGAAAGAAACAAGGCUUGCAAACACACAGCGUUCCUGCCACAGAUAGAUCCCAUCCCAGGCAUGCUGUCCACCCAACAACCCCUACAUAGGAAACAGGCUGCCAGAACAGGGACUAUUUGAGGUUCUGCAGGAGCUGAGACAAGAUGUGUGUCCUUUCUCUCAAUAUGGUGGUGGGAAGACGAAGGAACAGAAGAGAGUCCU
This is a long non-coding RNA of Bos indicus x Bos taurus (hybrid cattle), 218 nucleotides long. NCBI's taxonomy places the organism in Eukaryota, Metazoa, Chordata, Mammalia, Artiodactyla, Bovidae. The record is from Ensembl.